Molecule: ribosomal RNA, 446 nt
Filed under: uncultured bacterium
Lineage: Bacteria
Description: partial 16S ribosomal RNA
Rfam family: Bacterial small subunit ribosomal RNA
Source: RNAcentral
CCUACGGGUGGCAGCAGUCGAGAAUCAUUCACAAUGGGGGAAACCCUGAUGGGGCGACGCCGCGUGGGGGAAUGAAGGUCUUCGGAUGGUAAACCCCUGGCAUGGGGGAGCAAAUUAAAAAGAUAGUACCACAAGAGGAAGAGACGGCUAACUCUGUGCCAGCAGCCGCGGUAAUACAGAGGUCUCAAGCGUUGUUCGGAAUCACUGGGCGUAAAGCGGGCGGAGGCGGUUUCGUAAGUCGUGUGUGAAAGGCGCGGGCUCAACCCGCGGACGGCACAUGAUACUGCGAGACUAGAGUAAUGGAGGGGGAACCGGAAUUCUCGGUGUAGCCGUGACAUGCGUAGAUAUCUGGAGGAACACUCGUGGCGAAGGCGGGUUCCUGGACAUUACCUGACGCUGAGGCACGAAUGCCUGGGGAGCGAAAAGGAUUAGAUACCCGAGUAGUC